CGCGUAGGCUGUGCUGUAAGUCAGGCGUGAAAUCCCCGGGCUCAACCUGGGAAUUGCGCAUGAUACUGCGGCGCUGGAAGACGGGAGAGGAUGGCGGAAUUCCCAGUGUAGAGGUGAAAUUCGUAGAUAUUGGGAAGAACACCGGUGGCGAAGGCGGCCAUCUGGCCCGUAUUUGACGCUGAGGCGCGAAAGCGUGGGGAGCAAACAGGAUUAGAUACCCUGGUAGUCCACGCUGUAAACGAUGAGUGCUAGACGUCGGGGAGCUUGCUCUUCGGUGUCGCCGCUAACGCAUUAAGCACUCCGCCUGGGGAGUACGGUCGCAAGAUUAAA
This 330-nucleotide ribosomal RNA is filed under the name uncultured bacterium. Its description in RNAcentral is "bacterial SSU rRNA". It matches the Rfam family "Bacterial small subunit ribosomal RNA", at positions 568 to 898 of the family's 1533-position model. The record is from RNAcentral.